RNAcentral lists this ribosomal RNA (465 nucleotides) under uncultured bacterium. Its description in RNAcentral is "partial 16S ribosomal RNA". It matches the Rfam family "Bacterial small subunit ribosomal RNA", at positions 28 to 507 of the family's 1533-position model. The record is from RNAcentral.
GACGAACGCUGGCGGCGUGCUUAACACAUGCAAGUCGAACGGAAAGGCCCCUUUGGGGGUACUCGAGUGGCGAACGGGUGAGUAACACGUGAGUAACCUGCCCUUGCCUUCGGGAUAACUUCAGGAAACUGGGGCUAAUACCGGAUAGGAAUCCUUGCUGCAUGGUGGGGGUUGGAAAGCUUCGGCGGUUUUGGAUGGACUCGCGGCUUAUCAGCUUGUUGGUGGGGUAGUGGCUUACCAAGGCUUUGACGGGUAGCCGGCCUGAGAGGGCGACCGGCCACAUUGGGACUGAGAUACGGCCCAGACUCCUACGGGAGGCAGCAGGGGGGAAUAUUGCACAAUGGGCGGAAGCCUGAUGCAGCAACGCCGCGUGCGGGAUGACGGCCUUCGGGUUGUAAACCGCUUUCAGCAGGGGCGAAGCUUGUGGUGACGGUACCUGCAGAAGAAGCACCGGCUAACUACGUG